This is a transfer RNA of Neocallimastix californiae, 72 nucleotides long. It matches the Rfam family "tRNA". Rfam says of the family: Transfer RNA (tRNA) molecules are approximately 80 nucleotides in length. Their secondary structure includes four short double-helical elements and three loops (D, anti-codon, and T loops). Further hydrogen bonds mediate the characteristic L-shaped molecular structure. tRNAs have two regions of fundamental functional importance: the anti-codon, which is responsible for specific mRNA codon recognition, and the 3' end, to which the tRNAs corresponding amino acid is attached (by aminoacyl-tRNA synthetases). tRNAs cope with the degeneracy of the genetic code in two manners: having more than one tRNA (with a specific anti-codon) for a particular amino acid; and 'wobble' base-pairing, i.e. permitting non-standard base-pairing at the 3rd anti-codon position. NCBI's taxonomy places the organism in Eukaryota, Fungi, Neocallimastigomycota, Neocallimastigomycetes, Neocallimastigales, Neocallimastigaceae. The record is from Rfam.
GGGGAUAUAACUCAGUGGUAGAGUGCUUGCUUUGCAUGCAAGAAGCCUCGGCUUCGAUCCCCGAUAUCUCCA